AUAACCUACCUAUAAGACUGGGAUAACUUCGGGAAACCGGAGCUAAUACCGGAUAAUAUUUUGAACCGCAUGGUUCAAAAGUGAAAGACGGUCUUGCUGUCACUUAUAGAUGGAUCCGCGCUGCAUUAGCUAGUUGGUAAGGUAACGGCUUACCAAGGCAACGAUGCAUAGCCGACCUGAGAGGGUGAUCGGCCACACUGGAACUGAGACACGGUCCAGACUCCUACGGGAGGCAGCAGUAGGGAAUCUUCCGCAAUGGGCGAAAGCCUGACGGAGCAACGCCGCGUGAGUGAUGAAGGUCUUCGGAUCGUAAAACUCUGUUAUUAGGGAAGAACAUAUGUGUAAGUAACUGUGCACAUCUUGACGGUACCUAAUCAGAAAGCCACGGCUAACUACGUGCCAGCAGCCGCGGUAAUACGUAGGUGGCAAGCGUUAUCCGGAAUUAUUGGGCGUAAAGCGCGCGUAGGCGGUUUUUUAAGUCUGAUGUGAAAGCCCACGGCUCAACCGUGGAGGGUCAUUGGAAACUGGAAAACUUGAGUGCAGAAGAGGAAAGUGGAAUUCCAUGUGUAGCGGUGAAAUGCGCAGAGAUAUGGAGGAACACCAGUGGCGAAGGCGACUUUCUGGCCUGUAACUGACGCUGAUGUGCGAAAGCGUGGGGAUCAAACAGGAUUAGAUACCCUGGUAGUCCACGCCGUAAACGAUGAGUGCUAAGUGUUAGGGGGUUUCCGCCCCUUAGUGCUGCAGCUACGCAUUAAGCACUCCGC
This 764-nucleotide ribosomal RNA is filed under the name uncultured Staphylococcus sp. RNAcentral's name for it is "bacterial SSU rRNA". It matches the Rfam family "Bacterial small subunit ribosomal RNA", at positions 121 to 872 of the family's 1533-position model. The record is from RNAcentral. Lineage: Bacteria; Bacillati; Bacillota; Bacilli; Caryophanales; Staphylococcaceae.